This 2277-nucleotide ribosomal RNA is filed under the name Triticum aestivum (bread wheat). RNAcentral's name for it is "partial small subunit ribosomal RNA". The record is from RNAcentral. Lineage: Eukaryota; Viridiplantae; Streptophyta; Magnoliopsida; Poales; Poaceae.
AUGCUUCCGCGCAGCGCCCUCCUCCGCCUGCUGCUGCUCGCGCCGCUGCUGCUGCCGCUCGCCCGGGGCCAGCCGCAGCCGACGCUCCUGCGGCAGGACAUCCAGGCGCUCUACGGUCUGCGCGCGUCCCUGGGCCUGCGCGCGCGGGACUGGCCCGCCAAGGCCGACCCCUGCGCCGCCUGGGCCGGCGUCGCCUGCCGCGCCGACCGCGUCACGAGGAUCCGGCUGGGCGGGCUCCGCCGCACCCGCGUGGGGGAACGCAGCGCCGCCUUCGCCGUCGACGCGCUGCGCGGGCUCCCGGCGCUCGAGGAGUUCAACGCCUCCGGGUUCCCGCUCCCCGGCCGGAUCCCGGCCUGGUUCGGCCGCGGCCUCCCGCCGUCGCUCGCCGUCCUCGACCUCCGCUCGGCCGGCGUCGAUGGCGAGCUGCCCCUCUACCUCGGCAUGUCCGGGAACCUGACCACCCUCGUUCUAGCCGGUAACAGCCUCUCCGGCCGGAUUCCGGCGUCAGUUUUCUCCAGUAAGGCUCUCCGGAUCCUUGACCUUUCCAACAACAACCUCACCGGGGAGCUUCCCGACGUGUCUGCCUCCGCCGGUGACAUAGCAGGAGCUCUGUUUAACGCCUCGGGGAAUUCACUCUACGGUGCGAUUGGCGAUGUCCUGGGGUCCCUCAAGAAGAGGUUUCAGGUGGUCGAUGUGUCUAGCAAUUACUUUGGCCAAGCGGCCACCACUGGAUUUCAGAAUGGCUCUGAGGGAACAGUCUACAUCAAGAUGAAUUGCUUGCCAGGCCUACCAGGCCAGCGCAGCCCUGGUGAUUGUGAGGAUUUCUUUAAGAGGAAUGGAUUGCCAUUGCCAGAACCACCACAAGCAUCCCCAUCACCGGGCAAGAAAGGCGUCAGGUGGAAACAUGUACUAGCUGGAGUUCUUGGAGCUGCAGCUAUUGUGGUUGUCCUUUCACUUGCAGCACUGGUGUUUUGCUUGGUGAGGAGGGGGAGAAGGAGGCCUAGAGGAAGAGGGCUGGAGCAGAACGACGACGGCAUCCGCUCUGGUCGCAAGAGCAGCAGUGUGAAUCCGAUGGUGAUGUCACCAUCCCGGGCAGCAAACAGUCCACCCAAGGGUUUGCCUGCCGUCGUGGAUGAGCUCACCUAUGAGCAGUUGCACCAUGUCACCGGAGGCUUUGGAGAUGAUAACCUUGUCAAGCAUGGGCGCUCUGGGGACAUCUAUCGUGGUGUCUUAGAGAGUGGCUUAAAUGUUGUCGUAAAAAAGGUCGACGUGAAGAGCAGUAAGAAGAACAUAGUGGAAUUAAGCUUUCUUGUCAAAAAAUCCCAUGCCAGGAUUGUUCCAUUGCUGGGGCAUUUGGUCAAGGAUGACGAGGAAUUGCUAGUGUACAAGUACAUGUCAAGGGGAGAUUUGACAACUGCACUGCACAGGAAGCCAGCAGAUGCUGAAGUGGGGUUAUCUUCAUUGGAUUGGAUAACAAGACUGAAGAUUGCAAUUGGCGUAGCUGAGGCCCUGUGCUUCCUUCACGAUGAAUGUAGUCCACCAUUGGUUCACAGAGAUAUCCAAGCAAGCAGUGUUCUUCUUGAUGACAAAUUUGAAGUGUGCCUUGGAAGUUUGAGUGAAAUCUGCCCUCAACCAAGUGAUGGAAGCAGGAGUUUCUUCUCUAGGAUGUUGAGAUCAUCAAAGUCUCUCGACAAGAACAUGUCAGGUCCACCUGCUAGCCGCACAUAUGAUAUUUACUGCUUUGGAAAGGUGCUACUAGAGCUAAUCACCGGGAAAUUUGGCGUGAGUGGCUCAAACGACACCGACUCAGAGGAGUGGUUGGCAAGCACUUUAGAUUACAUUGAAACCCAUGACAAGGAGAAUGUCAUAAAUAUUGUAGACCCUUCACUUGUUGUGGACGAAGACCACCUAGAAGAAGUAUGGGCAGUCUCCAUUGUAGCGAAGACAUGCCUGAAUCCAAAGCCCUCCAGGCGGCCUCUUGCUCGGUACAUCUUGAAAGCGCUGGAGAACCCGCUAGGGGUGGUGCGGGAAGAGCUCUUCUCGAGCCCCAGUUCAGCUCGGCUCACAAGUACCUCAUCCCGAAGCUCUUGGCGUUCUGCUUUCCAUGGGCACUCGUACCAGUACUCCGAGGUGCAAACAUCAGGGAAAGUACUUACCUGUAGGCAGUCAGCAAAAUCCGAAGGAAGCGACGAGGAGGAAAAUUCCUUCUCCUUCAAGAAGGCUUCGCAGGAGAUGCUCCCGGAUCCAGUAGAGCUGGAAGACAGAGCUGUUGUGUAG